RNAcentral lists this long non-coding RNA (11552 nucleotides) under Glycine max (soybean). RNAcentral's name for it is "long non-coding RNA (GMAX_LNC004148)". The record is from RNAcentral. Lineage: Eukaryota; Viridiplantae; Streptophyta; Magnoliopsida; Fabales; Fabaceae.
UCAAAGUCACUGGGCCCUAUUACAAUACUCUGGCCCAAAACGAAAUAAACACUGAACAACAUAAAAUAAAUUUGCGAAAUUUCCUAAUUAGAAAUUAACUAAGGUAAGCGCUUCUUUAUUUGCCCUCUUCAAGUCCACAACCAAAAUCCGGAUUAAGCCCAAUGUUUCAUUAAUUCCUGAAAUUAGAUUAAAAACAUCAAAUUAGCUAAAUGAGCCCAAAUAAUAAAACUGCCUAAUUAAUUGACAAUUAAGACCAAUCAAUAAUUAAAAUGGUGCAAAAAGGGUUUAGAAAAUAGAAGAAAAUGAUGGCACAUCACUAAUGAAGAAACAAAAAUGCUUUCUCGAGUGAACUAUGCACAUCUCUUUGUGUCUACUCCAUCCUUCAAGAGCAUCUCGGCAGCUGAGUAUAUUAUGAUAAAUGAUAAAGUUUGUUCUGUGAGUAUGUUGGAGGAAAGUAUCUUGAAGGUUAAACAUUGUAGAUACAGUUGGCGGGUAAGCAAAUCAGAUGGAGAAGACGAUAGUAUAUGUGGAAGCAAAGUAGGAAUGGAUAUUAGAUCGCAUAUGUCGAAAUUCUCUCUUGACAAUGCUGAGGAACUUGGUAAUGAAGAAGAUGCAGGAUAGUAGCGCAAUGGAGGUUUUUGGCAACCAGGGAAGCAACAGGAGGAAGAGACGCUACAAAAUCUGUUGGUCAUUAAUAGGAGAAUAUGGCUAGUGACAAUACAAAGAAGGAAGAGUCAAACAAUGUUGCUCUUCCUUUUUUGGUAGAAAAGCCAUAGGACAGUAAAGCAAGGAUGGUGAAAGAGAGUGGUGAGUGCAAAAGGUAGUAAAAUUCAGCGGAUGAAGUACAACAACCAGAAGGUAGCAUGGAAGGGCAUAACCUAGAGCUACUCAAGUCAUCUGAUAAGAGGGGCACAAAUAGAAAGAAAGAUUUGAAGAAGGCUAUCAUGGACUAGAGGGAUGUUUUUAUGAAUUCAAAAGUGGAGUCAACCAACUUGAUCGUUGGAAGGGGGAAACAAAUAUUAUUAUGGGCCCAAAGCUAAAGAGGAAAAAAGUAAUAGUUUGGCCCUACAAGGAAGUCUCAAAGUUGAAAAAAGGGUGGGCCUUACAAUUGAAAAGGUGAACAAAUUAAAUCCUUCCAAACCUAAGGCAUGCUUAAUAGAGGACUUCCUUGUUUCUAACAAGUUUCAAAUAUUUCUAAGAGGUGGUUCAAGUAAUUCUUCCCAAAAUUCACAGGGGGAGAUUAGUAAAAAUGACUUGGGGAGAGGUUCUAAGUCAGUUAUGGGUUUUAAGGGGAGCUUGAAACAAAGCUAGUCUGACUUAUCAAAUGGGGCGAACAACUCAGAAGGGAGGAAGGAUGGAAGUCUGAAAAAUAGCAGUGUGAAGAUGAGGAAGAAUAGUGCAACACAAGGUGUGAAUCUUUCUAGUAACUCUAUGUUGAAAGGGUCUGAUAGCAAUAGUAAAAGUAUUUUUGGAGAAAGAAUGAUGUUUCAGAAGCAAGGAAUAUAGUGGAUAUGGGGAUUGGUUUAGGGGUGUCUUUGAUUGGGAAGGAGGAAAUUAUGGUACAAUAACUUGCUAACCUGGAGCAUAGAGAUGUUAUAUUAAAAAAGGAUACAUAUGGCCAUAAAAGGAAGGGGAACAAUAAAAAGUGUUUAUGAAGAUAAUGACUUUCAACAUUUGAGGCCUUGGAGGAAGGCUAAGGGUGAAGGAGGUGCAAGAGUUGAUACAAAAAGAGGAGGUGCAAUUAUUAUUUUACAAGAAACUAAAAAGAAGUGCUACAUAAGGAAUUAUGUUACACUUUAUGGGGUGACUUUGAAGUAGCUUCGGUGAUGUCCCUAUCUUUAAAUAUGGCGGGAGGGAUGCUUUGCUUGUGGAGUACAGAGGCUUUUCACCUAAAUAAUUCGGUAAGUGGCUUUAGAUUUCUUGCUUUAUAACGAGUAUGGAAAGAAGGGGAUUGAGAAAUCACAUUAAUGAUAUAUAUAUUCACCAUGUGACUUGGAAGGGAAUAAGAGGCUCUGGGAAAAGUUGAAAGAGUAUAAACAAAGAUCAUUGUGCCCUAGUGGUGUGCUUUGGGGAUUUCAAUAUUGUUCAAAGGAGUGAAGAAAGACAAGGUAUAAGUGCCAAUCCACAAGUAGCUAGAGAGAUAAUAGAGUUCAAUCAAUUCAUUGAAGAGACGAAGCUCAUUAACAUCUCGAUGGUAGGGAGAAACUUCACAUGGUACCGAUCGAAUAGAAAAGCUAAAAGCCAGAUUGAUAGAGUUCUAAUAUCAAGAGAGUGGUUGGAGUGUUGGCUGGGGAAUGAAACAACCCGCAUCAUUGCUAUGAUAUCAAUAACUCUAAAACACGUAAUUUUAAUUUUUAAGUGGAAACUCCAUUAAUUUGAUUAUGAAAAACGGGGGUAAAUUUUUCGCAAUAUAUAUAUAUAUAUAUAUAUAUAUAUAUAUAUAUAUAUAUAUAUAUAUAUAUAUAUAUAUAUAUAUAUAUUUAUUUAUGUAUGUAUUAAACCAUUACACAUCAUUUACAAGAAAGAAAGUAAUUUAGUUUAUAAAUGUAUCUAAGUCUAUAAUUUACACGUCCAAAUCAAAAUAGAAUCAAGGAACCAACUACGGAAUUGAUAACAAACCACAAUUCUCUCUCAAAAUAAUUCCAACGUCAUCACAUUGGCUUGGCAACUCUGACAAAAGAACCUUCCUCCAUAUCAUCUACUGUUGUUCAUUUGCUCCCACGAACGAAGGUUCAUGAUCAUCACAGGUACCAACCACAUGGUACAAAAUUUCAAGGGUGGGUUUAUUAUAAAAGAGAUCAAUAAGUAUAAGAAGACAAUAAUUAGCCAGGAAACUAUAUCAAUAAUCAAAAUCAUACUCAAUAAUCCAUCAGUUCAACAUAUACUUAACAACUAGUCAUCAACUUUUCCGCAAAUCCAAUCAAUUAUGCUCAAUAUGAUGCAUGCAUCUAACCUCAACUCUCAAAUGUAAUGUGGUACCAUUCGUUAAGAAAUAGCCUAAGCGUAUCCAUGCGACACUCUCACUUAGGAAAACUAGGCAACAAGUGUCGAGGUCACCCUGUCGUGCACAAGCAACUUCUUCCCCAUGGUGAUCAGCUUGAGUCUCAAGGAAGAUCCAAACUGAGUGACAUGCCCCCAACUACAAGUAUUUUUCCUCAUGAAAAACUACAAGUACUUACUAACAAAGUUUAUACUAUUUCCAUGCAGUAUGAAGUAUGAAACAUUGGCACCAUCAAUGCACUGACUGUAGAUAAUUAAAUAUUCUAAGUCAUGCCCUUCUCUUACCAUGGAUGCUUAAAACUCUUUAACCACUCUAUUUCCCCCACCAGGGAUAUCCAACUUGGUCAUUGUAUCCCCCAUGUACAUACACAACAUACAUCCAUCACAAUGACAUUAUCAACAUCAACAUCAUCCCAUGUUAAUGUUAUUAUCACAUCAACAUCAUCUUAUCUCAAUAUCAUCAUCAACAUCAACAUUAACAUCAUCUCAUCUCAAUGAUAUUAUCAACAUCAACAUCAUCUUAUCUCGAUGAUAUUAUCAACAUCGACAUCAUCUAAUAAUAUCAUCAUCAUUAUCAAUAUCAUUUCAUAUUAACAUUACCAUAAACAUUAACAUCAUCUUAUAUCAUCAUUACCAUAGACAUCAACAUCAUUAGUAAUCGCAUUCCACAUAUAUACAUAUAAGUUUCAUGCAUGGGAUUCACACUCAUUAUUUAGGUCCUCAAACAACAUAAGUCUCAUACAACAACAAUAUCAUUCACAAUUUCAAUCAUCAAUAACAAAUAAACCACAUCCCAUUAGUCAAAAACACAAUUUUUCUUGAAAACCAGGAUGCAACAGGGACAAACAUACAUCCUCAUAGUUGGGUUCCCUGACCUCAACUACGAUAUCAAAGCGGUAAACCAAAAUAAACUCCUCUUACUUAUUGAUAUCUCUUCGUCAGCUCCUUUCAGCGUUGCUCGGAGGUCUCUCCUAUUCACAUCCGUCGGUCCAAACGCAGUGCUUGAUAUACCAAAUCGAAGACAAUUUAGUAUAGAUUUUAAAAACAAGGUUAAUAUCAACAUCUAGGAUCGAAUACCCUUGUCAACUUAAAAAGGGGCUAAGGGGUGUUUUGGGGUCUACAUCACAAAGACGUCAUUUUGAAAUUCCGAUCUCGCCAAUAUGAUCGGGGCUCAACGAAAGUCACGAAAACAACAUCAAUUUUAUAAAAUGGUAACUUUUACAACGUCUCAUUUUCAAGGAUUUUUCAAAGGAAGCGUAAAAACAUCCUAUUAGAGUGCCCAAAUCACAAGAGAUACUAAUAAAAACUCAAACUAACUCGGAGAAAGGCAUAGAAAUCAUGGUUACCUCAAAGAAACCACAAAAGAAAGGGUUAACGCGCUUGAGCAAAUUACCUCCUCGGGUUGGAAUUGCGCUUAACGUGCUUGUCUCGCUAAGAGAAUUUCCUUCUCGGGUUGGAAUUGCGCUUAGCGCGCAUGUCUCGCUAAGUGAGUUGUCGAAAGUGUGAAUGUAUGUAUACAUGAUUUUUGAUGAUGUCAAAAGAAGAAUCAAACAAGGCUCAUUUGCUUCAAGAUUAAUACAAGAUUGUUUCAACAAACAAAGCCUUUAUUCAAUAUUUCUUCAAGAUCAAGACUUUCCUCAAAAUGAAAAGGUUUCAAGUCAUCCAAGGCACAUGUAAUCGAUUACCAAUACAUGUAAUGAUUACCAAGGCACAUGAAAGUGUGUAAUCGAUUACACAUCAUAUGUAAUCGAUUACCAGAGACUCUGAACGUUGGGAAUUCAAAUUUUAAAUGAAGAGUCACAACUAUUCAAGAAAAAUAACUGUGUAAUCGAUUACCAGAGAGGAUUUUCAAGGAAUAUCGCCAACAGUCACAUCUUAUCAUUUGGAUUUUGAAUGGCCAUCAAAGGCCUAUAUAUAUGUGUGACUUGGGACGAAAUUGGUAGAGAGUUUUGCUAGUUCAGAAUGUCUUAUCCUCUCAAAUCAUUGUUUGAUUUUGGUUAAGGACAACCUUAUUGAUUGCGGAAUUAAACCAUUUAAGGUCCUCAAUGGUUGGUUUGAUGAUGGUGGCCUUAAAGAGAUUGUGAUGGAAGCCUGGAGGAGCCAAAAUGUAGAGGGGGAGGAGCAUAUGUGUUUAAAGAGAAAUUAAAAGGGGUUAAAGUUUCCUUGAGAAAAUGGAAUUUGGAGGAGUUUGGUAUGACACAAAGGAAGCAACAAUUAAUAGUGAAAGAAAUGAAUGAGCUAGACAUUUUGGAAGAACUUGGAAGCUUGGAUGAGGAAAGUUCCAAGAGGAGACUCCAACUUCAAGAAGAUCUUUGGAAGGUCGAAAAAUUCAAUGAAUCUUUGCUUCUUAAAAAGUCAAGGGUGAGAUGGAUCAAGGAGGGAGAUUGCAAUUCAAAGCUAUUUCGCUCUAUAAUAAAUUGGAGAAGAAGGAAGAGUUUGUUGAAAGGUAUGGAUGUUGAUGAGGAGGGGGUGGAAGACCCGGGGAGAGUAAAAGAGGAAGUGGAGAAUGUUUUUUUUGAAAAAAGAUUCAAGGAGGACAAUUUAUAUAGACCCAAGGUUGAUGGAGUUGCUUUCAAACAAAUCUUAAUAGAAGAUAAUUCUUUGUUAGAGGCGGUGUUUGAGGAAGAAGAGGUGUAAAAAGCUAUUUAGGGUUGUGAUGGUUCAAAGAGUACUCCCAAUCCCAACUGUUUCAACUUUUACUUUAUCAAGGAGUUUUGAGAGUAGCUGAAGAUAUUUUGAGAUUCAUGUGUGACUUCCAAGAGGUAUUAACUCUUCCUUCAUAGCUUUGGUAGCUAAGUGUGAUUUCGCCUAAAGUUUAGGCCAAUUUAGACCUAUAUCGUUGGAGGGAUGUUUAUAUAAAAUUUUGGCAAAGGUCCUAGCAAAUAGGAUGAGGAAGUACUUGGGAAGGUAAUAGAUCUGUGCUAAAGUGCCUUCCUCGAGGGGAGACAACUUUUACAAAGUGUGUUCAUGGCAAAUGAAGUAGUAGAUGAUGCAAAAAGGAGGAAAAACCUAGCUUUCUUUUCAAGGUUGAUUUUGAAAAGGCAUACGAUUCCGUAGCAUGGGAUUUUCUUCUUUACAUGUUUCAUAGAUUAAGUUUCUAAGAGAGGUGAAUUAUGUGGAUAAAGGGAUGUCUAGAGUCUUCUUGGGCAUCGAUGUUGGUGAAAGGGAGCCCCACACAAGAAUUUAAAUGUCACAAGGGUCUUAAUCUACCAUUCACAUAUUUUGGCUUACCCAUUGGGGAAAAUCCAAGGAGGAAGGAGAUGUUGCAACCCGUUAUUCAAAAUUUCUCUAAGAAAUUGUCUAUUUGGAAACACAACCAUAUUUCUUUUGUGGGAAGGAUUUGCCUAAUCAAUUAUGUGUUGUCAUCUCUAUGUUUUUUUACUUCUCCUUUUAUAAAAUGCCAAAAGAAAUGUGGAAAAUUCUUGUGGAAAUCCAAAUAAGGUUCUUGUGGGGAGGGGAUGAUGAGAGUAAAAAAAUCCCAUGGGGACAUUGGGAGGAUAUUUGUAAAAGUAAGGAGAUGGGAGGUUUGGGAGUGAAAAACUUAUAUAGGUUUAAUGAGACACUGUGAUAUCCUAAUUUCAUCCAGGGACUAUCGUUCGUUGAUCUUUUGAUCCUUGCUAGUCGACUUAUGACGUUGAAUGCCAGUUAUAGUGCGAAGUAGAUGAUCAUUCAGUGUUUUGAUUAAAAAUGCAAAAAAUACAAAAAAAGAAAUGGGGCAAAAGGGUCUUUUCCUUAGUUUUCCUAGACCCUAGCUCGCCCAGGCUAGCCUAUGGCUCGCCUGAGCCACCAAAUAGCUUCAUGGUGAAGAAACCAGCUCGCUUGGGUGAGGUCACUUCUUCAGGGUUAAGUUUCAGCUCGCCUGGGCGAGCUGUAAUUGCCCCAAAGUGACCCUUUUUGCCUAUAAAUAGGCUUCCUAGGGGUGUUUUAAGGGGUCCAUGGCUCAAAAGUUGAGAGAAUUGAGAGAAGAGAGAAAGAAGAAGAAGAAAGAAGAGGAAACAAAGCCGAGGCGCUACCGAAUCACGACUGUGACCGAUCCCUACAUCGUUCCUUGUUCGGUGUUCUUCGUGCGACCGUCGGUUAGUUUUAUUUUAAGACUUGAAUGUGAUCUAUGUACCCUUAGGGGUCUUCCUUGUUAUUAUGUGCACAUUCAUCUUCUUCGUCUAUCAUCGACAAUCUCUUUUUCUUUGUAAAGAUCAAUCUUAACCGAUCACUAGUGCAGUAAAAUUGUCCUUAAAAAGAUUGAAAGUUAAUAAACAAAACCAAGAUAAAACCAACUCAUAACUAACUUCAUUUCAUCAAAUAUCACUAGAGAUCAUUCCAAGGUCCAAUGCCUUAAAGAUUCUCUCUACUUUUCAAAAUUCAAAACAUCGUUUCAAGGUCCAACGCCUUAAAUGACUCUUUGUUCGUAAUUAAAAUGAAUCUUUCUAAAGCAUAAAACCAACUCAAGACACAAGCUUUCAGACUUAAAUAACUACGUUGGUCUAAAUUUCUCAUCGCACCUGAGGAAUUGUAGGAGCAAGGGCAACACCCUUGUCGACCCCCUAAAAAAAUAUAAAAAGGGAAAAGUAAAUAAUUCUGAAGUCACGUUGCACACACUCGAUUAAAGGCUGCCAUCCCUUCUGACGGGCGCGUGGGGUGCUAAUACCUUCCCUAUGCAUAAACAACUCCCGAACCGCCUUAUUUUCAAAAUUCGCAGACCUGUUUUUUUAGGUUUUCUAACGUUUUCCUUGAAUAAACAUUGGUGGUGAAUCCGCUCAUUUUCUCCCUUGGAGACUGUUCGACAGCCGACAAGUGCACCGGAUCGCGCAAGUAGUAUAAAACGGUAAGUGAAUACCAAGUAUCAAACUCUCAGGGAACUUGUUUUACUUGGUAAAGCUGUGAUUCAGUAAAUAAGUGUCUUUGGAUGAAAGUUUGGUGUCUAGUAUGGACAAGUAUGCAAACUAAACUAUUCAAAAGUAAAUCACGUGAGUAGUGGUGUGGGAAGACAGAUAGACAACUUGUUGGUCUUCCUACAGGGUGGACUAAUGUUAUUAAGGAUGUUCUCUACCUAACAAUAUUCCUCUGUUCUAUGUUGUCUCCUGGACUACUAAAACCUGAUGUCUCGUGCAUGUUUAGCCUAAUCCUAAUCAAGCGUCGUCUUCAAAUCCCUCUUGUUGGACUACUUAACUAGAAUCACAUUAAGACAUAACAUAACAAAAUCUAGGUUACCGUAUGUGGCGUCCCCAAAAUAAUGACUGGUUUAAUAGUAAUGAUUUAAUUAACAAAACCAUGGUAAUUUUUUUUCUUCUUUUUCUUUUUCAUUCCUUUCUCUUUUCACCAUAACUAGGUUUAGAAGGAAAAUCCUCACUAUAGAGUCCUGAAUGGCCAGUUCACAACUCUAUUCGGAGUCAUUUCUUUCUUACCGCUCAUAAUCUCUAAACUAUUUUGCUGUUUCAAAAGGAAGAAUGUACCAACUAUUACUUUAGGUCGUCACGUGAAAAUAAAAGAAUAAAAUACGGUCGAUAAACUCUUUUACAAAUAAAUUUGCUAAUGCUUUCUUUUCGAGUAACAAGAUUGAUCAUAAACACAUUCAUCAUUUAAAGCUGUCCAAAAUAUGAGAGUUUUACAAAAUACAUAGUGUCAUCCAGAGCAAAGGUGUCCACAGUGGUGGCUUCAGCCACAUGUAUACAAUUAUCAAAUUCCUAUACAACAGGUCUACCCAUACAAAACAAAAGAGUAAACCUAACAGUCAGUCCUAGAUACACCCACCCUCAAAAAGUAUAUAAAACUAGUCCGAAGAGCUGUCCACUAGGAUGAAGAGCCUCCGCUGAUCGCCAUCUCUCCAGGGCCACUAUCCUCCGUAGAGUCUGCCUCAAAUGCCGACAUGACGUCCUUGGGAGAAUCCACCUCAGGAAGGGGAUCCUCAUCACCCUCUAGAAAGUCAAGAGCAUCCACAGCAGGCUCAAGAGGUAGCUCCUCAAGAUCCUCCUCGGGGUCUUCCUCGGAUGACGUCACCUCGAUCACUUGGACUGGCUCCACUAGACGAUAUGGUGUAGGCGUGGGUAGUAUCCACUCCACAGUGCGCUGAAGCGUACGCGCGGGUUCGUCUGGAUGCACCAAUGAAGUAGCCGUAAAUAGAAUCGUGCCCCGAAAUCGGCACCUCGUGUUGCCUUCGAGGGUCUCCCAAGCUCCCUCUAGGCACUCCAUCUCCACUCGAUCAUGGAUUAGCUGCGCCGCCAUCACGAUCUACAAGAAAGAAAAGAAAGGGGUAGACUCUUUCACAAGAAUCUAACUAUGCCGCCGCACAAUGCUUCUCUUAACCACUACAUGCAAGUAAAAGGGGUAUCUCAAGGUUUUUCAUCCCUGGUAAUCGAUUACACAGCCUUGGUAAUCAAUUACCAGAGGCCAAACUCGAAUCACACAGCUUCAGGACAUGAAAACCUGAAAAAGGCACUGUGUAAUCGAUUACACAUACCUGGUAAUCGAUUACCAGUGACCCAUUCCUCUGUGUAAUCGAUUACACAGACUGGUAAUCGAUUACCAGAGGCCUCCACAACCUGCUACCUUCAUUUCUAAGCCUGGUAAUCGAUUACACCCCCUUGGUAAUCGAUUACCAGAAGCCCUCAUAGCUUUCUGACCUCGUUUUCAAGCCUGGUAAUCGAUUACACCCCGUGGUAAUCGAUUACCAGUGACCAUCUUAGCCUCCUGUCUUCAUUUUUAAGCCUUGUAAUCGAUUACCCACCCUUGGUAAUCGAUUACCAGAGCCCAUAUCCCAUAUAUCAAUCAAAGUUCACAGCUGGCCAGCCACCACACAAGCCUCCUUGCUUUGUGGUUUUGUUCCUUUUAUCUGUUGACUGCCAGGAGCUCGCCUGUUUAGGUACAUCACAGGUUCUCACUGACUGACUAUGCCCGGGUUGGGUCGGGAUUGUUCAAGCUUGGUUUUGGGAAAUAGCACCCCACCUAACGUCCCCAAGGUCUCCUGACCCCCGCGACAUAUCUUCAGGUACCACUCUGUGGUCAACGAAAUAAAAGCAGGAAGUUUCACCCUUCUACACUUCCUCAUCUCAAGCUUGUAGGAUUAUGGGGUACCCAUCACAUGUGGUACUAGGUGGCGGUCGGGCGAUGGUGCACAACAAGUUUUCCACAUCCACAAAUCGCGCAUAAACCCACCAUCCCCUGUUGCCCACCUCCAACUGAGCUCACGUACUCCCACGUAGCCCAUAUCCUCGUUUCUCUCAACACCGGGUCCACAUCAAUCCUCCCAAGCUUCCCCAACAUCCAAGUAAUUCAACAUUCAAACAACACAAACUAUCACAGCCAAGAAAACAGGGCAAAGGCAGAAAACUCUGCCCAAAACACCAACCAAAAUCACAGCUUUUCCCACUUAAAGACCCCAGUAACAUUUCCUUCGUUCCAAUUCGUUAACCGUUGGAUCGACUCGAAAAUUUUACUGGAAGUCUCUAUUACAUAUGCAUACAUUUUGACCGUUGGGAUCUGCUAGCAAACAUUCAGAACACAUUCUGCACUACUCUUUCCAUAACCAGCAAAACAUAGCAUUUUUCUGCACUUAUGCAAAAUUCUGCUGCACAAUUUCACAGCAAAAUUCUGCAUAAAGUGCAGAUUUCGAAAACCACACUUCCCCUCAUCCAAUCUUGCCCAAAUCAAAUCCUACAAGUCCCAAAUCAUGUAUCAAUCAUGUCUAAACCAAAGUCAAGCUUCAAAACACAGCAACACAAAAUCUAGGUGUCCAAUACCCCUCAAUUUAAUGGAUUUUCUAGGUUUGAGAAGUGAAAUUGAGAAUGAGGUAAAUUUGAAGCAAACUCUCACCUCACACAAGUCCAUAACAUCAAUUUAAACUUGUGCCAACUGGAUUUACACCUAAAAUUUCACCGAAUCAAAAUUUGACUCCUCAACACCCAAAUUUACCCUAGAAAUGGCUCUUUGUUCACUUUGGUCAUUUGUUUUUCUCUCUAGCACAACCCAAGCUUUCUCAUAAGUGCUAAAUGACAUUUCAAGCUAGGAUUAAGUCAUUUUAACCUCCAUUUAUCACAGAAUCCAGAUUUAACCUUCCAACUCUCAAAGCCUCACUCUUUUUCCACCCAUAACACCACAUUCUCACUUUCUAACCCUAGGUUAACUCUACCCUUCAUCUCUAACAGUUUUCCAUAAGCAAUUUCAGCACAUAAACAUCACAAGCAUCAUCAUAAAAACCCUAAAACUGAAUGGGUAAGCUUAACUCAUCCAAACAUGGCAAGUUCAACAUGCUUUCAACAAAUUUCUUCACAAAUAACUAUCACGAAGCAGAAACCUAGCAAGACUACCCAUCAUAUCUCCCAAAACCCCAUAUCCACGAAAUUCAAGAGGGAAAGAAGUCUACCCAAACCUGAAAUUUCAAAGUCCCACACGUAGAGAUGCGCUUCACGACUCCGAAAAUGCCCUCCUUUCGCGAUUUGGAGCAGAAAUGGGCACCAAAGGUUGAAGCUUUGUUUGGAGCUUCAAUGGAGAAUGAAGGAGAAGAGAAUGGCAACGUGAGAGAGAGAGAGGAAAAAGGCUUCUGAAAUUUUGGGGCUGAG